GCAGUCGCCGCGGUAAUACGAAGGGGGCUAGCGUUGCUCGGAAUUACUGGGCGUAAAGGGAGCGUAGGCGGACUGUUUAGUCAGAGGUGAAAGCCCAGGGCUCAACCUUGGAAUUGCCUUUGAUACUGGCAGUCUUGAGUACGGAAGAGGUAUGUGGAACUCCGAGUGUAGAGGUGAAAUUCGUAGAUAUUCGGGAGAACACCAGUGGCGAAGGCGACAUACUGGUCCGUUACUGACGCUGAGGCUCGAAAGCGUGGGGAGCAAACAGGAUUAGAUACCCCCGUAGUCCCUGUCUCUUAUAC
RNAcentral lists this ribosomal RNA (302 nucleotides) under uncultured bacterium. Its description in RNAcentral is "partial 16S ribosomal RNA". It matches the Rfam family "Bacterial small subunit ribosomal RNA", at positions 508 to 807 of the family's 1533-position model. The record is from RNAcentral.